RNAcentral lists this ribosomal RNA (424 nucleotides) under uncultured prokaryote. Its description in RNAcentral is "bacterial SSU rRNA". It matches the Rfam family "Bacterial small subunit ribosomal RNA", at positions 355 to 796 of the family's 1533-position model. The record is from RNAcentral.
UGGGGAAUCUUGGACAAUGGGGGCAACCCUGAUCCAGCGACGCCGCGUGGGUGAUGAAGGCCUUCGGGUUGUAAAGCCCUUUCACCGGGGACGAUGAUGACGGUACCCGGAGAAGAAGCACCGGCUAACUCCGUGCCAGCAGCCGCGGUAAGACGGAGGGUGCUAGCGUUGUUCGGAAUCACUGGGCGUAAAGGGCGCGUAGGCGGCUUUGGCAGUCGGAUGUGAAAGCCCGGGGCUCAACCUCGGAACGGCCUUCGAGACUGGGCGGCUAGAGACCGGAAGAGGAGGGUGGAAUACCCAGUGUAGAGGUGAAAUUCGAAGAUAUUGGGUGGAACACCAGUGGCGAAAGCGGCUCUCUGGUCCGGAUCUGACGCUGAGGCGCGAAAGCGUGGGGAGCAAACAGGAUUAGAUACCCCGGUAGUCC